GGCUCGUUGGUCUACUGGUAAGACUCUUGCUUCGGGUGCGAGAGGUCCCAGGUUCAAAUCCCGGACGAGCCC
RNAcentral lists this transfer RNA (72 nucleotides) under Danionella translucida. It matches the Rfam family "tRNA". Rfam says of the family: Transfer RNA (tRNA) molecules are approximately 80 nucleotides in length. Their secondary structure includes four short double-helical elements and three loops (D, anti-codon, and T loops). Further hydrogen bonds mediate the characteristic L-shaped molecular structure. tRNAs have two regions of fundamental functional importance: the anti-codon, which is responsible for specific mRNA codon recognition, and the 3' end, to which the tRNAs corresponding amino acid is attached (by aminoacyl-tRNA synthetases). tRNAs cope with the degeneracy of the genetic code in two manners: having more than one tRNA (with a specific anti-codon) for a particular amino acid; and 'wobble' base-pairing, i.e. permitting non-standard base-pairing at the 3rd anti-codon position. Lineage: Eukaryota; Metazoa; Chordata; Actinopteri; Cypriniformes; Danionidae. RNAcentral also lists the same sequence under 1 other name. The record is from Rfam by way of RNAcentral.